UUUUAUUUGAGAGUUUGAUCCUGGCUCAGGAUGAACGCUGGCGGCGUGCCUAACACAUGCAAGUUGAGCGAUUUACUUCGGUAAAGAGCGGCGGACGGGUGAGUAACGCGUGGGUAACCUACCCUGUACACACGGAUAACAUACCGAAAGGUAUGCUAAUACGGGAUAAUAUAUUUGAGAGGCAUCUCUUGAAUAUCAAAGGUGAGCCAGUACAGGAUGGACCCGCGUCUGAUUAGCUAGUUGGUAAGGUAACGGCUUACCAAGGCGACGAUCAGUAGCCGACCUGAGAGGGUGAUCGGCCACAUUGGAACUGAGACACGGUCCAAACUCCUACGGGAGGCAGCAGUGGGGAAUAUUGCACAAUGGGCGAAAGCCUGAUGCAGCAAC
This 387-nucleotide ribosomal RNA is filed under the name Clostridioides difficile. RNAcentral's name for it is "bacterial SSU rRNA". It matches the Rfam family "Bacterial small subunit ribosomal RNA", at positions 1 to 395 of the family's 1533-position model. The record is from RNAcentral. Lineage: Bacteria; Bacillati; Bacillota; Clostridia; Peptostreptococcales; Peptostreptococcaceae.